CAGUCGCCGCGGUAAUACGUAGGUCCCGAGCGUUGUCCGGAUUUAUUGGGCGUAAAGCGAGCGCAGGCGGUUUGAUAAGUCUGAAGUUAAAGGCUGUGGCUCAACCAUAGUUCGCUUUGGAGACCGUCAAACUUGAGUGCAGAAGGGGAGAGUGGAAUUCCAUGUGUAGCGGUGAAAUGCGUAGAUAUAUGGAGGAACACCGGUGGCGAAAGCGGCUCUCUGGUCUGUAACUGACGCUGAGGCUCGAAAGCGUGGGGAGCGAACAGGAUUAGAUACCCCAGUAGUCCCUGUCUCUUAUACC
RNAcentral lists this ribosomal RNA (301 nucleotides) under uncultured bacterium. RNAcentral's name for it is "partial 16S ribosomal RNA". It matches the Rfam family "Bacterial small subunit ribosomal RNA", at positions 509 to 808 of the family's 1533-position model. The record is from RNAcentral.